GCGUGCCUAACACAUGCAAGUCGAACGAGAACGGGUUUAGUUUACUAAACUGUCAGCUAAGUGGCGCACGGGUGAGUAAUAUAUAGUUAAUCUGCCCCAAAGAAGAGAAUAAUUGUUGGAAACGACUUGUAAUGCUCUAUAUGCCUUUAAGACAUAAGUCUGCAAGGGAAAUAUUUAUAGCUUUGGGAUGAGACUGUACGGUAUCAGCUAGUUGGUGAGGUAAUGGCUCACCAAGGCUAUGACAUCUAACUGGUUUGAGAGGAUGAUCAGUCACACUGGAACUGAGACACGGUCCAGACUCCUACGGGAGGCAGCAGUGGGGAAUAUUGCACAAUGGAGGAAACUCUGAUGCAGCAACGCCGCGUGGAGGAUGACACAUUUCGGUGCGUAAACUCCUUUUAUAUGAGAAGAUAAUGACGGUAUCAUAUGAAUAAGCACCGGCUAACUCCGUGCCAGCAGCCGCGGUAAUACGGGGGGUGCAAGCGUUACUCGGAAUCACUGGGCGUAAAGAGCAUGUAGGCUGAUUAGUAAGUUGGAAGUGAAAUCCUAUGGCUCAACCAUAGAACUGCUUCCAAAACUGCUUAUCUAGAGUAUGGGAGAGGUAGAUGGAAUUUCUGGUGUAGGGGUAAAAUCCGUAGAGAUCAGAAGGAAUACCGAUUGCGAAGGCGAUCUACUGGGAACAUUACUGACGCUGAGAUGCGAAAGCGUGGGGAGCAAACAGGAUUAGAUACCCUGCUAGUCCACGCCCUAAACGAUGCACACUAGUUGUUGCUAUGCUCGACAUAGCAGUAAUGCAGUUAACACAGUAAGUGUGCCGCCUGGGGGAGUACGGUCGCAAGAUUAAAACUCAAAGGAAUAGACGGGGACCCGCACAAGCGGUGGAGCAUGUGGUUCAAUUCGACGA
RNAcentral lists this ribosomal RNA (904 nucleotides) under uncultured bacterium. Its description in RNAcentral is "bacterial SSU rRNA". It matches the Rfam family "Bacterial small subunit ribosomal RNA", at positions 42 to 957 of the family's 1533-position model. The record is from RNAcentral.